Non-coding RNA from Aegilops tauschii subsp. strangulata, 1291 nucleotides. NCBI's taxonomy places the organism in Eukaryota, Viridiplantae, Streptophyta, Magnoliopsida, Poales, Poaceae. The record is from RefSeq and is a predicted model, not a curated record.
GAGAGCUGCAUUCUGCUAGCCUAGUUAUACAGUGCCUUCCACAUGCCUGAGCAAAUGUGAACAAGCAUGGCCACAACCAUGGAUGUCAUUUCCGGAAGCAACUCUUCACAUACUUAUCAUCUUUCGGUAUAUUCUUUUGUCUGGUGGUUCAAGUAAGACUUCGUUUACGUCUCAUUGGUGCAGAUGAAUGGUUAAUAAGUUUCUCCAAGAUAUCUUGUCAAGUCUAAUCUAAUCCAAGCCUGCGUGUUCUGAUGCCUACCAUUUACUGCCAUCGAGAUAUUGUCGGCUCACACUGAUUGGACUGCGCUUUUUCUUGGGACCAUUAAGGGCUGAACAGACUGUGCCUCCAUUAUUGUGGAUUUCUGGCAAAAGUGUUAGUUGUAUACAAUGUUAUUUGAAGUUCCGUCUUGUUUUGCAGUCUUGCUGAAUCAGCCAUGAGAUCCUUGUUUAUUUGAAGUUCCGUCUUGUUUUGCAGUCUUGCUGAAUCAGCCAUGAGAUCCUUGUUUAGACGUACCCAACUCAUAUCUAUUGCCUGCUUGAUGGGCCCCAUAUUUAGAUUCCAGACAAAGGAGAAAAGCCUACUUCUUGGUACACUUAUUGAUCUUCUUGUCGAUGUGCUAACCAAAUAAUUAGCGUGUGAUUUACUUUGUUUGAAUGAUUUUGCUGCUUCAAUAGUACGAACUAUCUUGAAAGAUCUCACAUAUUGCUAUGCAGAUUUAUCUAGCUGCUACUGAUAUGAUAUGGUGCUGAUCUGUAACUGAUGAUACUGCCUCUUGUCCUGUGACCAUGUGAGAGUGGGGAGUGAUGAAGUGGCGGUCCUUGCGCGCAUGUGCAUGCAUGUGUCUACCGCCCCCUUUCUCGUUGCAUCUUUCAACUAUGUAUGAUGUAUCUGGCUUCUUUCUUCUUGUUGGAGAAUGGUGACUUGCAGAGGGAGUUCAUCCCCAUAAUGAGCCGGUGGAAGCGACGCCGCCAUUAUUCGUAAUGUCAUGGAUAAUGGCAGACCUCACAUGGGCAGUAUCAUUCAUGUAUGGGGUCAUACUGAUUGUAAUGUCUGGAGAAAGUCUGAGUAUAGUGCAAAUCCAAUCUGUUUAUCAGCCACAUUAUUAAUCAUUUUCUGCUUAACUGUGGCUAAAUUAUAAAGUUUGAGGGUUAAUUUCCUGUGGACCAUAGUCAGUUUUUAGAUUGCAAUCAGUGAAUCGGUUCCCUUCUGACUAGUCAUUUUCAUCAAGCUCUUACUUUUUGGAUUCUGUACUUUUUGUGUGGUCUUAUCUAAUUAUACUCCUUGUUGUUA